RNAcentral lists this ribosomal RNA (429 nucleotides) under uncultured Actinomycetes bacterium. RNAcentral describes it as "bacterial SSU rRNA". It matches the Rfam family "Bacterial small subunit ribosomal RNA", at positions 917 to 1348 of the family's 1533-position model. Lineage: Bacteria; Bacillati; Actinomycetota; Actinomycetes. The record is from RNAcentral.
GGGCCCGCACAAGCGGCGGAGCAUGCGGAUUAAUUCGAUGCAACGCGAAGAACCUUACCAAGGCUUGACAUACACCGGAAAAGUGCAGAGAUGUGCUCCCCGCAAGGUCGGUGUACAGGUGGUGCAUGGUUGUCGUCAGCUCGUGUCGUGAGAUGUUGGGUUAAGUCCCGCAACGAGCGCAACCCUCGUCCCAUGUUGCCAGCGGGUUAUGCCGGGGACUCAUGGGAGACUGCCGGGGUCAACUCGGAGGAAGGUGGGGAUGACGUCAAAUCAUCAUGCCCCUUAUGUCUUGGGCUUCACGCAUGCUACAAUGGCCGGUACAAAGGGCUGCGAUACCGCGAGGUGGAGCGAAUCCCAAAAAGCCGGUCUCAGUUCGGAUUGGGGUCUGCAACUCGACCCCAUGAAGUCGGAGUCGCUAGUAAUCGCAGA